UAGUCAGUUUUACUAUGAUGAGUGCUCCUUG
RNAcentral lists this non-coding RNA (31 nucleotides) under Rattus norvegicus (Norway rat). The record is from RNAcentral. Lineage: Eukaryota; Metazoa; Chordata; Mammalia; Rodentia; Muridae.